Molecule: ribosomal RNA, 526 nt
Filed under: uncultured bacterium
Lineage: Bacteria
Description: partial 16S ribosomal RNA
Rfam family: Bacterial small subunit ribosomal RNA
Source: RNAcentral
GACGAACGCUGGCGGCGUGCCUAAUACAUGCAAGUCGAACGAAACUUUCUUACACCGAAUGCUUGCAUUCACCGUAAGAAGUUGAGUGGCGGACGGGUGAGUAACACGUGGGUAACCUGUCUAAAAGAAGGGGAUAACACUUGGAAACAGGUGCUAAUACCGUAUAUCUCUAAGGAUCGCAUGAUCCUUAGAUGAAAGAUGGUUCUGCUAUCGCUUUUAGAUGGACCCGCGGCGUAUUAACUAGUUGGUGGGGUAACGGCCUACCAAGGUGAUGAUACGUAGCCGAACUGAGAGGUUGAACGGCCACAUUGGGACUGAGACACGGACCAAACUCCUACGGGAGGCAGCAGUAGGGAAUCUUCCACAAUGGACGCAAGUCUGAUGGAGCAACGCCGCGUGAGUGAAGAAGGUCUUCGGAUCGUAAAACUCUGUUGUUAGAGAAGAACACGAGUGAGAGUAACUGUUCAUUCGAUGACGGUAUCUAACCAGCAAGUCACGGCUAACUACGUGCCAGCCGCCGCGGUAA